CUUUUGUCCGGGAGCAAAUCCCAGUGGUUAAUACCUACUGGGGCUGAGAGUACCGGAAGAAUAAGCACCGGCUAACUACGUGCCAGCAGCCGCGGUAAUACGUAGGGUGCAAGCGUUAAUCGGAAUUACUGGGCGUAAAGCGUGCGCAGGCGGUUGUGCAAGUCUGAUGUGAAAGCCCCGGGCUUAACCUGGGAACGGCAUUGGAGACUGCACGACUAGAGUGCGUCAGAGGGGGGUAGAAUUCCGCGUGUAGCAGUGAAAUGCGUANAGAUGCGGANGAAUACCGAUGGCGAAGGCAGCCCCCUGGGAUGACACUGACGCUCAUGCACGAAAGCGUGGGGAGCAAACAGGAUUANAUACCCUGGUAGUCCACGCCCUAAACGAUGUCAACUAGCUGUUGGGGGUUUGAAUCCUUGGUAGCGAAGCUAACGCGAGAAGUUGACCGCCUGGGGAGUACGGCCGC
RNAcentral lists this ribosomal RNA (463 nucleotides) under uncultured Chromobacterium sp. Its description in RNAcentral is "bacterial SSU rRNA". It matches the Rfam family "Bacterial small subunit ribosomal RNA", at positions 433 to 889 of the family's 1533-position model. The record is from RNAcentral. Lineage: Bacteria; Pseudomonadati; Pseudomonadota; Betaproteobacteria; Neisseriales; Chromobacteriaceae.